Long non-coding RNA from Drosophila gunungcola (fruit fly), 918 nucleotides. RefSeq lists it as uncharacterized. Lineage: Eukaryota; Metazoa; Arthropoda; Insecta; Diptera; Drosophilidae. The record is from RefSeq and is a predicted model, not a curated record. The transcript has 3 exons.
CUAAACGUCUUAAACAAGAGUGACUUUAAUUCCCAGUGAUCGCAUGGAGGCAGGUUGAUUAUGUCAGAGCGCCUCGAGCGCGGACCAUUUUUGAAAACGAUCUUAUUAAUCUGACAUCAUAAUAAGCGAUUAAUCAACUGGCAUUAACAAAGCUCUGACCAAUGACCAGCCCAGACACCUGCGCCCCGGACCCGAAGACCACGAUCAGCAACUGCUCCACCCGCAUAAACUGGCCUCAACUCGACUCAGCCCGAUCUUCGGGCAGUCAGGAGCUCAAACAAAUUGAAUUCUCAUUGUUCGCAUAAUCGCCGGCCAUUUGUAAUCGCGAAAUUCAGUGAAUGUGCUCACGAUUGUGUCACAGAAUCACAUGAAUAAUUCAGGCAGAAUUUCGACUUUUGAGAAUAUCCAGCAGUUAUCGUUGUGUUUCUGCUGGCGCAAUAGAUGUAAACAUUCGCGCCGAGGUGUUUGCCGGAAUCACAACGCAUCCAUAGUUGACAUAAAUAGCAUCAGAUUUGAGCAGUUGCCAAUUUGGACUCACGGAUGCGAACGUGAAUAUUCCAUUUCCAUGGCCGAAUCAGCGACAUCGAGAGGACGCAUCUAUUCCCACAAGAUUUUCUGCCAAGUUUGAGUUCCUAUUUGGUUUUCGGUCUGCUGAAGUUAAUUAAAAUGGUUCCCACUUGGCCCUCAAAUAGAAUUUUCGUUAUGAUUUCCACCUAGCCCCCAGAAUAUUAAGAAAAAUCUUGUGAAAGAGUACAUACUUAUGCUGUGAAUCUCAUAUUCGAUGGGGUGUGAUAAUGAGUUAAAUGGCUUAUUGCAGAGAUAUAUUUCGAGGGACAGUUUUGUAAUUUAUACUAAAUUAUCCAUACCUUUUGUAUUAAGGUGUAUGUUUUGCAAAUUAAAGCUAAGAAUAACUUUAAG